CCUACGGGAGGCAGCAGUGGGGGAUAUUGGACAAUGGGGGGAACCCUGAUCCAGCGACGCCGCGUGAGUGAAGAAGUAUUUCGGUAUGUAAAGCUCUGUCAGCAGGGAAGAAAGCAAUGACGGUACCUGACCAAGAAGCCCCGGCUAACUACGUGCCAACAGCCGCGGUAAUACGGAGGGGGCAAGCGUUAGCCGGAAUUACGGGGUGUAAAGGGAGCGUAGACGGCUGUGGAAGUCUGGGGUGAGAGGAGGGGGCCCAACCCCAGGAUUGAAAUGGAAACUGGAUGGUGGGAGGACAGGGGAGGUAGGGGAAAUUCGUGGUGUAGCGGUGAAAUGCUUAGAUAUGAGGAGGA
This 353-nucleotide ribosomal RNA is filed under the name uncultured bacterium. Its description in RNAcentral is "partial 16S ribosomal RNA". It matches the Rfam family "Bacterial small subunit ribosomal RNA", at positions 338 to 705 of the family's 1533-position model. The record is from RNAcentral.